RNAcentral lists this ribosomal RNA (776 nucleotides) under uncultured bacterium. RNAcentral's name for it is "bacterial SSU rRNA". It matches the Rfam family "Bacterial small subunit ribosomal RNA", at positions 8 to 796 of the family's 1533-position model. The record is from RNAcentral.
AGAGUUUGAUCAUGGCUCAGGAUGAACGCUGGCGGCGUGCUUAACACAUGCAAGUCGAACGGUGAAGCCCCGCUUGCGGGGUGGAUCAGUGGCGAACGGGUGAGUAACACGUGAGCAACCUGCCCCUGACUCUGGGAUAAGCGCUGGGAACGGCGUCUAAUACUGGAUACGAGACGUGAUCGCAUGGUCAACGUUUGGAAAGAUUUUUCGGUUGGGGAUGGGCUCGCGGCCUAUCAGCUUGUUGGUGAGGUAAUGGCUCACCAAGGCGUCGACGGGUAGCCGGCCUGAGAGGGUGACCAGCCACACUGGGACUGAGACACGGCCCAGACUCCUACGGGAGGCAGCAGUGGGGAAUAUUGCACAUUGGGCGCAAGCCUGAUGCAGCAACGCCGCGUGAGGGAUGACGGCCUUCGGGUUGUAAACCUCUUUUAGCAGGGAAGAAGCGAGAGUGACGGUACCUGCAGAAAAAGCACCGGCUAACUACGUGCCAGCAGCCGCGGUAAUACGUAGGGUGCAAGCGUUAUCCGGAAUUAUUGGGCGUAAAGAGCUCGUAGGCGGUUUGUCGCGUCUGCUGUGAAAUCUGGGGGCUCAACCCCCAGCCAGCAGUGGGUACGGGCAGACUAGAGUGCGGUAGGGGAGAUUGGAAUUCCUGGUGGAGCGGUGGAAUGCGCAGAUAUCAGGAGGAACACCGAUGGCGAAGGCAGAUCUCUGGGCCGUAACUGACGCUGAGGAGCGAAAGGGUGGGGAGCAAACAGGCUUAGAUACCCUGGUAGUCC